RNAcentral lists this transfer RNA (53 nucleotides) under Diplophyllum obtusifolium. Its description in RNAcentral is "partial tRNA-Leu". RNAcentral also lists the same sequence under 4 other names. Lineage: Eukaryota; Viridiplantae; Streptophyta; Jungermanniopsida; Jungermanniales; Scapaniaceae. The record is from RNAcentral.
ACUUAAAAUCCGUUGGCUUUUUAGACCGUGAGGGUUCAAGUCCCUCUACCCCC